UGAGAAAGUGGCCUAAAAAAUUAAACCAACCACAAAUCCUCAACCGUAUCUGCUUCACUUCCCCAUUCUCCAUUUCCCUCUGCUUGAAUACAAACAUUCACUCCCACUAAUUACACACACUGCUACACAUGAUAUAUAUAUAUAUAUAUGAGGACACGAAAUGAUGAAAAACAGAGUAAAGAUUAAGUAUGGUUGUUGAAUUGGUACAGUCAGUUUCGAACCCAAAUUGUAACAUACAUCUAUUUAAUUUUUUAGAAAACAAUAAUUACCAUUAUAGGAUAUGGCGUGAGAUGGAGACUCAGAAGUGAAGAUAAUUUGUAUGUCUUUGAGAUUCUCCUUUACAUAUGCAGACAUCUUAAGAUUUUUAUGACCCUUCAAGUGCUUUUGUAUUUGUUGUAUGUCAAGCAUAUAAUUUGCAAUUUGUCUUAAGAUUUUUAUGACCCUACAAGUACUUUUGUGUCUGUUGAGCAUAUAGUUUGUAUGAAGUCGCGGUUGAAGGCAAGACAGGGAAGCCUUUUUAUGCAAAGUUUCGUGAUCACCAUACGAUAGCAGAACAUUUGUAAUACUGAGACCAGACAUGCAGGUGAAUUCGAAAUUUGUCUCAUGGUAAUUACUGAUUUUUUUCAAAUCAAUUAACUUUAUAAUUCCUGCACUUAUAUUGCAGAACAUGACAUUGCUUGACAACCAGAUGAGAGGUGCGCCUGAUAGACAAUGCCAUUAUAUUAUUGAACUUCCACAAGACCAAGAGCAAAUGCAAUGAUUUAUAGGCUUCACAGGACAGUCUUUAUGCCAUGUUUCAUACGCCAUCGCCUACUCUCUUCAUUGUUGUCGCUGUAGUUAUGCCAUGUUUGGCAACAAUUGCGAUUGUUGGGCUUAAGAACUUUUUCAAAGCGCCAAAAUUUGAAAUUCCUUCCUUUAUUAGUCGACUUAUUUAGCGUAGUCAGGACGAACUAGCACUUCUCAAUUCUUGUUAGGAAGCGAAUUCUCUGAUAUUGAAUGCAUAUGAUUUCAUAUGGUCUGUAUCAAAAUCUCAUAAUGUCUUGUCGUUACCUUCUAUCCUAAAACUUGUAACAUUCUUAUUUUCCUGAAUCUUGAGAAAGUGAUGUGAAAUGGCAACAAUCUUGACAUGUUUCCUUUCUAGUGAUUUGGAUAAACUAUGUUAAAAUUUCUCCUAGAAGAUACCAAUAAAUUAGCAAACUACUAGUGCUUAUCAGUGAAAUAUGCUAUUGCAUUAUACUAUGGUCUAGUAGUAAUAUUUUCAGAUACAUUCAUGGGAUAAAAGAAUAAGAGAUCCUUUGAUUGAACUAGAAUAAUAAUUUUAAGUGCUUACAACAAUUGUAUGGAAGAAAAGGGAGUUCAAAGUGUUUGUACUUGAAAAUGUUUCUCUUUGCUAUGCAUAUAGCUAAUAAUUACUCCUAUGUGAUAUAACAUAAGUCAAAAAAUGAGGAAGGUAAGGGUAACAAUGGCUUUGAGCGCCAAAAAAGCCUAGGGCAACAAUGACACCUUUUGUCUGUGUCAUAUAGUUUUCACUUUUGCAAGUGGUAGUAUUUUGAAAGAAGGA
Molecule: long non-coding RNA, 1561 nt
Filed under: Capsicum annuum
Lineage: Eukaryota; Viridiplantae; Streptophyta; Magnoliopsida; Solanales; Solanaceae
Description: long non-coding RNA (CANN_LNC001857)
Source: RNAcentral